AAAGGCAAAAUGUCCCAAGGCCCGCCCUUCCCAUGGUUUCUAGCUGUCCUUUCCCGCGGAUGAAAAGGAGGAGGUCACCAGUCCAUGGGAUUCUGACAGCGUGCCCUGCAGAGUUCAAAGAAUUAUUCAUUCGUCUGUGUAUGAAUCAUGACAAGGGGCUUCUCUGGCUCCCGAACGCUGGAGCACUCUCUCCACCCGGGAGCUGGAAGGUCUCUUCAAAAGGAUCCUGACACCCAGGCGAACAUCUCAUUGAAUUGCCGUGAGCAAAGGAAAACAUUACACUGCAGAUUCUGAAAUCACCAGAUUCUUCAGAAACCCAGAUGACAAUCCACUAGGACAAACAUGCAAGGAAGGCACAGAGCACACUAAUGACAUUUGCCCCGCCAUCAGCCCCACACCCCAGCCCGACACCUGGGAGGGGACUGACUGGCAGGCGGCGGGCACCGGCGAGGACGCCGGCCGUGCACAGCAGCAGGUCGCUUCCCCUGGCGGAGGACGAUCGCGCCCGGAGUUAUCGCCGCCAACCGCCGCUUCCCUGCACCCCGCCGCUCCCGCACGUCUGGCCGUCGGGUCCUGACCGUCCCUCCUGACCCGCGGCCUUUCCAGUGCUUCCCCCGUGUCCCUGCUGGGGGCCUGCGCCACGUCCUGCUACCUAGCCCUGGCACUGGUUUCUCGUCUCCCAGGAGACGGUUCCCGUUCUCCGAUCUCCAGGAGAGGCUCGACGGUCUGCGCUCUCACCAUCACUCAUCGGACAGAACGGGCCUCUCCGUCGCUGAAUCUCGGGAGGCUGCGGAUCUCGCACGCUAUUGUACAACCUCAUUAAACUAAAGCUAUCCUCGAUCACCUCGUUUUACCUUUUCUUGUGGAUUUUAAGCUGAAAGGGAUAGAAGCUUUUGUUUUCUCCACGGUGUCUUCCACAGGUCAGCAGUGUUGCCAAAAACAUAUGAAAACAAAUCAAUAAAUACUUAUACAUAAAGAAACAUCCAUUCUUUAAAAAAUAUCAAGUCAAGACGUAAGUGUACGACUAUCAACACCCUGCCUCAGGCCCUUUGCACUUUGGCACCUCAGGCUUAAACAUUCUUCUCCCAGAUGUUGGCGGGUUCACUCCCCCAGCCUUCCAGUCCUCUGCUCAGAUUACACCUCCUCGAUGAAGCUUGGCGCGUCCAUCCUUCAGAAAACUGCAACUCGUCUCCUCCACCCCUCCUUCACGUUCCCAAUCCCCUACUCUGCUGUUUCUCCCGAAGCCUCUCUCCCCUUCCAACAUACAGAAGUUACCACAGUUUUGCUUACUGAAGGCAACCUACACGAGGAGAGGGGCUGGGGCAGGGAGAGUGGUCACUGAUGGAUCUCAGACACUCAGAACCCUGACUGGCACACAGACGUCACUCAACAGACGUUUCUUUAAAGAAUUGAAUAAAAGAAUUCAAACGUUA
Molecule: long non-coding RNA, 1433 nt
Organism: Canis lupus familiaris (dog)
Lineage: Eukaryota; Metazoa; Chordata; Mammalia; Carnivora; Canidae
Exons: 3
Source: RefSeq, a predicted model, not a curated record